AGCAUAAUCAUUUGUCUUUUAAUUGAGGUCUAGUAUGAAGGGUUGGAUGAAAAAUUUACUUUCUUUAUUUUAUAUUAAAAAAAUUAAUUUCUAAUUAAAAAAGAUUAGAUAAAUUUAUAGGACGAGAAGACCCUAUAGAACUUUAUUAAUAAAAUAUUAUUUUUAAUUGUUAAUAAUUGAAAUGAAUGUUAAAUAUUAAUUGUGUUGGGGUGACAAAAAAAAUUUAAUAACUUUUUUUAUUACACCAUUUGUUUAUGGAUUUAUGAUCCUUUAUUAAGGAAUAAAGAUUAAGUUACCUUAGGGAUAACAGCGUUAUUAUUUUAGAGAGCUCUAAUCGAUAAAAUAGUUUGCGACCUCGAUGUUGGAUUAAAAUAAGUUUCAGGAGUAUAAGAUUGAAAAUCUAGGUCUGUUCGACCUUUAAAUUUUUACAUGAUCUGA
This 438-nucleotide ribosomal RNA is filed under the name Miridae sp. enlarged antennal segment 2. RNAcentral's name for it is "partial 16S ribosomal RNA". The stretch from base 303 to 438 matches the Rfam family "Bacterial large subunit ribosomal RNA", at positions 2473 to 2608 of the family's 2925-position model. Lineage: Eukaryota; Metazoa; Arthropoda; Insecta; Hemiptera; Miridae. The record is from RNAcentral.